This 253-nucleotide ribosomal RNA is filed under the name uncultured bacterium. RNAcentral's name for it is "partial 16S ribosomal RNA". It matches the Rfam family "Bacterial small subunit ribosomal RNA", at positions 524 to 776 of the family's 1533-position model. The record is from RNAcentral.
UACGUAGGUGACAAGCGUUGUCCGGAUUUACUGGGCGUAAAGAGCGCGCAGGCGGUCAGAUAAGUCGAAUGUGAAAGCCCCCGGCUUAACUGGGGAGGGUCAUUCGAUACUGUUCGACUCGAAGGCAGGAGAGGGAAGCGGAAUUCCCGGUGUAGUGGUGAAAUGCGUAGAUAUCGGGAGGAACACCAGUGGCGAAGGCGGCUUCCUGGCCUGUUCUUGACGCUGAGGCGCGAAAGCUAGGGGAGCAAACGGG